UAAGGAAUAUUGGUCAAUGGGCGGAAGCCUGAACCAGCCAUGCCGCGUGCAGGAUGACUGCCCUAUGGGUUGUAAACUGCUUUUGUCCAGGAAUAAACCUAGAUACGUGUAUCUAGCUGAAUGUACUGGAAGAAUAAGGAUCGGCUAACUCCGUGCCAGCAGCCGCGGUAAUACGGAGGAUCCGAGCGUUAUCCGGAUUUAUUGGGUUUAAAGGGUGCGUAGGCGGCCUAUUAAGUCAGGGGUGAAAUACGGUGGCUCAACCAUCGCAGUGCCUUUGAUACUGAUGGGCUUGAAUCCAUUUGAAGUGGGCGGAAUAAGACAAGUAGCGGUGAAAUGCAUAGAUAUGUCUUAGAACUCCGAUUGCGAAGGCAGCUCACUAAGCUGGUAUUGACGCUGAUGCACGAAAGCGUGGGGAUCGAACA
Molecule: ribosomal RNA, 422 nt
Filed under: uncultured bacterium
Lineage: Bacteria
Description: bacterial SSU rRNA
Rfam family: Bacterial small subunit ribosomal RNA
Source: RNAcentral